This is a long non-coding RNA of Mercenaria mercenaria, 1438 nucleotides long. RefSeq lists it as uncharacterized. The transcript has 3 exons. The record is from RefSeq and is a predicted model, not a curated record. Lineage: Eukaryota; Metazoa; Mollusca; Bivalvia; Venerida; Veneridae.
UAGAACUAUAUCAUUAUACAAUUCAUGUUCCGUCCCGAAAACAGAUGUAGAUAAUAAUGCAAAGACACAAAUAAAUGUAACAAAGGUCAAUCAAAGCUUCAGGGUGAACUAUUAGUAUAGCUGGGUGAAUGACAUGGCUCUCUCUGAGCCAGUUUCUGUAACUUCGACUUAAAUUUUCAAAGAUAAGAUCAAACAAAUGCAGACACUCCGGAAAGCAUCCCCGCUCAUUCAAAGGACGUGAAUACAGCUCAGUACAAAUACGCACAUCAUCUAGAUCAACGUUAUGGUGCUGACUGACCGAAGUAUACAGUUCCGGCAUACUGAACAUCACUUCAGGUUUUCCAUUUGGGUUUCCAUUUGAAAUGUCGUGUAAAUUCCACUCAAAGGCAAAUUUACAAAACUCAAUUACAAUAACUGGCAUGAAACAGUAAAGCAAACAUUGUCUAUGAAAAAUAUUUCCAUCACUGUAUAAGCCUGUAGCACUCUCGUCGCUUUAAAGAGAUUUAUCCAAAAUGCACUGACGUCGAAACAUACUCCAUAUCGAUUCGAUCCGUUGACUGGAUGUGCUUUUGCCAACAACAAAGUUUUUGUCCGCUGCAUGGCCAUCGCCAUGUCCUGGUCUGAAAAGUAUUUACAGUUGACGGACAGUGACAUUUUCGGUUCCAUGUUCACUACUAAUUAUUGUUGGCACAAUCCCGCCUAAGCUAGUUAUGGUUUCCAAGAAAUAUUUAGCAAUUACAAAGACGUGGGUCAUUAUUAUUGGUUGCAACCUUAAGCCACAGUAUUUUCCGACUGAAUUCGUCUACAGCCCCAUGUAUGGCAAAACCAAAGGGCUUCAACUUGUCGUAUCCAUCCAUGUAACAUACAAAGUUUGGACCUGGACAUAAAUAUUUCCGCCGAAGAAGUCGCCUUCGUUUCCUUCUUUCCACUCCAUUUGGAUCUGCUAUCCGCAUUAAACGAAUAACCGUAGACCGAUGUACAUUAAAGGUGGUCAAUCACAUUUAAACAACAUUUAAUGCCAUUUUUUACUUUUUGUAUAUUCUGGUAGAGAUUUAUUUAAGGAACAAAAAGACCCAUUACAUAGAGUUAGAUUCCUAUUAGAAAUGUAUGUUUUAUUAUUUUUUAUAAAAUUUGCAAUUACUCCCCUUUAAUAUAAAAGUAUUUAAAAACCUGAGUAAUUCAUUUUAUUUCGAUACAAUUUCUAGUUUUACGUUUGCAUUUGAUAGACAUACCAACUAUUUAACAAUCUGAACCAAACGGCAAGCUUUAAAUCUGUGUGUAGCUUCUGAAUUCAUUUAUUUCCAAUCUAUAUUGGUUGCGCAACCAAGAUAGGCAAAGGGAGAUAAUAAUAAUUUUUUAAACUUGCGGUUCUAUCGAAUUCCAUCUAAAUACAUAAUUGUUAAUGAAAAUAUUUUACAAAUAUAUUACAAUAUAUCUA